AACUUGAAAGGGAAGCAUGCAGCGUUCUUAUAUGAGAUGUGCAAGUUCUACAGAGAUUGGCAUGCCAAUUCUGAUGGUUUUCAUGGAAUUUUCCUUCAUGAUCCUGUGAGCUUCACUGCCGUACUUCAUCCAGAGUACUUCACAUUCAAGAAGGGUGUGGUGAGAGUAGAGACCAGGGCAUUUGCACUGGCCACACUUUGAUGGAUCAGGGAUUGAAAAAGUGGAAUUCAGAGAAGCCAUGGUCAGGGUAUAAACCGAUUUCUGUUGCAUGGACGGUUGAUGUGCCAAAGGUCAUCAGCAUUAUAAAGAAGCUGCUCAUGGCACCAUGAGCAAAGUACAACCAUUUAACGACUUGUCGACAUCAGCGCUCUCUGAUGUCCAAGAAAAUUUGACGAGUACAGACCCUCUUUCUCAGCUGCACUGUAAUUAGUUCCUGGACGUAGGAUGGUUCCUAUUCCUCCAAUAGUAAGAGGAACCUUUCAUUGUGAAAGGUCAUGCAGCAGUCUCGAAUACCAUGAAGCAAAUUCUGGCAUACGACAUCAUGUCUCACACAUUUGUAUCAAUACAUUUCGAACCAAUAAAGUUUCCCUCACUCUUUACUGUGCA
Molecule: long non-coding RNA, 606 nt
Organism: Zea mays
Lineage: Eukaryota; Viridiplantae; Streptophyta; Magnoliopsida; Poales; Poaceae
Exons: 3
Source: RefSeq, a predicted model, not a curated record